CUAGGGGGAAUUCAUGUGGAUGAACAUCCUGCAGGUGGAUGGGCAGCGGGAGUCAUCUUUUCCCAGGGGGCUGUGAGAUGACUGUGGAUGAAGGCCCUUGCUUCCAAGCCUGACACCCCGAGUUUGACCCCUGUAACACACGUCAAACACCAGCUUCAGUGGCAAGCAUCCAUAAUUCCAGCACUCCUCUACCAAGAUAGAGGUGGAGACCAGGUCAUCAAUCACCCAGAAGCUCAUGUACACAGACAGCAGCAAAAAAAAUGACCAGAGAGCCUCCUGCCUCCAAAACAAGAGAACCUUGCCUAACACACCUCCCAAGGGCUGGUCAUCAAUCAAACUGCAGCCAGAAAAUAAUACCAGACGGGGACCCGGCAGACAGACACCUCCUCACACAGUGUCACUUACAGCCCAGGGGGUCUGUACAUUUUCCUGUGGUGAGUACAGCCAGGGGCUUUUUAGAUUUGUGGUACUCACUCUGGCUACUCUGCUCCCUCAUCAUGGACAGAAAGCGGGCAUGGACGCCAACCACGAUGCUGGACAGUCCUCAGGACUCAGGUUGCUAAUCUCUGA
Molecule: long non-coding RNA, 570 nt
Organism: Peromyscus leucopus (white-footed mouse)
Lineage: Eukaryota; Metazoa; Chordata; Mammalia; Rodentia; Cricetidae
Exons: 3
Source: RefSeq, a predicted model, not a curated record